UCCUCUUUACAGAGGCAGUUUGAUCCGAGUUCCCGACUUUACUCGCUGGCAACAGAUCAUGAGGGUUGCGCUCGUUGCGGGACUUAACCCAACAUUUCACAACACGAGCUGACGACAGCCAUGCACCACCUGUGCACCACCCUCGAAGGCGACGCCGUUUCGGGCGCUUGCAGGUGCAUGUCAAGUCCUGGUAAGGUUCUUCGCGUUGCAUCGAAUUAAGCCAUAUGCUCCACCGCUUGUGCGGGCCCCCGCCAAUUCCUUUGAGUUUCAACCUUGCGGCCGUAGUCCCCAGGCGGUUCACUUAAUGCGUUAGCUGCGGCACCGAGGGAAACCCCCAACACCUAGUGAACAUCGUUUACGGCGUGGACUAC
This 371-nucleotide unclassified non-coding RNA is filed under the name uncultured bacterium. Its description in RNAcentral is "contains 16S-23S intergenic spacer region". The record is from RNAcentral.